RNAcentral lists this ribosomal RNA (488 nucleotides) under bacterium. RNAcentral's name for it is "bacterial SSU rRNA". It matches the Rfam family "Bacterial small subunit ribosomal RNA", at positions 347 to 832 of the family's 1533-position model. The record is from RNAcentral.
GGCAGCAGUAAGGAAUAUUGGUCAAUGGAGGGAACUCUGAACCAGCCAUGCCGCGUGCAGGAAGACAGCCCUCUGGGUCGUAAACUGCUUUUAUUCGGGAAUAAACCUUAUUACGUGUAAUAAGCUGAAUGUACCGAAGGAAUAAGGAUCGGCUAACUCCGUGCCAGCAGCCGCGGUAAUACGGAGGAUCCAAGCGUUAUCCGGAUUUAUUGGGUUUAAAGGGUGCGUAGGCGGCUUAUUAAGUCAGGGGUGAAAGACGGUGGCUCAACCAUCGCAGUGCCCUUGAUACUGAUGAGCUUGAAUACACUAGAGGUAGGCGGAAUGUGACAAGUAGCGGUGAAAUGCAUAGAUAUGUCACAGAACACCGAUUGCGAAGGCAGCUUACUAUGGUGUGAUUGACGCUGAGGCACGAAAGCGUGGGGAUCAAACAGGAUUAGAUACCCUGGUAGUCCACGCCCUAAACGAUGAAUACUCGCUGUUAGCGAUAU